AGAGAUGGAUUGGUGCCUUCGGGAACUCUGACACAGGUGCUGCAUGGCUGUCGUCAGCUCGUGUCGUGAGAGUGUUCGGGUUAAGUCCCGUAACGAGCGCAACCCUUGUCCUUAGUUACCAGCACGUUAUGGUGGGCACUCUAAGGAGACUGCCGGUGACAAACCGGAGGAAGGUGGGGAUGACGUCAAGUCAUCAUGGCCCUUACGGCCUGGGCUACACACGUGCUACAAUGGUCGGUACAAAGGGUUGCCAAGCCGCGAGGGUGGAGCUAAUACCCAUAAAGCCGGUCGUAGUCCGGAUCGCAGUCUGCAACUCGACUGCGUGAAGUCGGAAUCGCUAGUAAUCGCGGAUCAGCAUGUCGCGGUGAAUACGUUCCCGGGUCUU
Molecule: ribosomal RNA, 385 nt
Filed under: uncultured Pseudomonas sp.
Lineage: Bacteria; Pseudomonadati; Pseudomonadota; Gammaproteobacteria; Pseudomonadales; Pseudomonadaceae
Description: bacterial SSU rRNA
Rfam family: Bacterial small subunit ribosomal RNA
Source: RNAcentral